UAAGACAUGCAAGUCGUACGCGAACGACCUUUCGGGGUUAAGUAGAGUGGCGAACGGGUUAGUAACGCGUGGGAACAUACACAGCACAGGGGGAUAACCAUUGGAAACGAUGGCUAAUACCGCAUACGCCCUAUUGGGGAAAGAUUUAUCGGUGUUGGAUUGGCCCGCGUUAGAUUAGCUAGUUGGUGGGGUAAUGGCUCACCAAGGCGACGAUUUAUAGCUGGUUUGAGAGGAUGAUCAGCAACACUGGAACUGAGACACGGUCCAGACUCCUACGGGAGGCAGCAGUCGGGAAUAUUGUGCAAUGGGGGCAACCCUGACACAGCCAUGCCGCGUGAGUGAAGAAGGCCUUAGGGUUGUAAAGCUCUUUCAGAUGUGAGGAUGAUGACGAUAGCAUCAGAAGAAGCUCCGGCUAACUUCGUGCCAGCAGCCGCGGUUAUACGAAGGGAGCUAGCGUUGUUCGGAAUUACU
This 471-nucleotide ribosomal RNA is filed under the name uncultured bacterium. Its description in RNAcentral is "bacterial SSU rRNA". It matches the Rfam family "Bacterial small subunit ribosomal RNA", at positions 49 to 555 of the family's 1533-position model. The record is from RNAcentral.